RNAcentral lists this unclassified non-coding RNA (226 nucleotides) under Hevea brasiliensis (rubber tree). The record is from RNAcentral. Lineage: Eukaryota; Viridiplantae; Streptophyta; Magnoliopsida; Malpighiales; Euphorbiaceae.
GGAACUUGACCAGCUCUCAAGUAGCCAGGGGUAAAAGCUUACAUUGGUGCUGUCUUGUAGAACAAAUGAAACAGUCAAGUUUUACACAGAGAUCCCCCAAUUCAUUUGGCAAUCAAAGAACUCUCAAUAUGGCCUGAGCAUUCGGUUCUUCACAGGUGCAUACCGAACUGAAAUUACCUCGGUUUGGUUCCAUCUUUUCUAAUUUGGUUCGGUUCUUUGGUAUGGG